AGAGGAGGAUAUCUCCCUGAGGAUCAGGUCAAGAAAACAAUUACAGAUCACAGAGCACAGACCCUGGAUCCAAAAAAACUGUCAAAGGAAGGUUGGAACAAGGUUCUUAUGGAGUCAGAUGAACACCGGAUUGGACGGGAACAGACACGUGAAUGAUGUUGGACAGCAUGAAUGAAGCUGACAAGUCCAUGGAAAAUGGACACCUGAAUGAAUGAUGCUAGUGGGGAGAAACAGAAGGGAAGACCAACACACAACUACACAGGCACAGCCAUAUGCAUACAUACAGUACACACAUGUUCCUAUGGUGUACGUAACACCAGGAGAGAGGAAGACAUCCCCCAGAGGAUCAAGCCGAAGAUAUCUCCCAGGGAUUUCCAAGCCAAGAUAUGGACCUACAGAAGGAGGCGGUUUGACAAAGACCUGCCCACUCUGGAGGGAAUUCUGCUCCACCCUUGGCUGCAGUGGUCCAUCCCCUCCCCUUCACCUCUGGGACACACCAUGGGUCGGUGUGCAGCUCAUCCACUGCCUCA
Molecule: long non-coding RNA, 530 nt
Organism: Osmerus eperlanus (European smelt)
Lineage: Eukaryota; Metazoa; Chordata; Actinopteri; Osmeriformes; Osmeridae
Exons: 3
Source: RefSeq, a predicted model, not a curated record